AGCUCCAAUAGCGUAUAUUAAAGUUGUUGCAGUUAAAAAGCUCGUAGUUGGAUCUCGGGUACUAGCAUGUGGUACACUUUACAGUUGUUACUGCUUGUCUAGUCCUAAUCAAUCGGUUAGCUGAUUAUUCACUUCAUUGUGUGUUUUCAGUAGCCGGUACGUUUACUUUGAGAAAAUUAGAGUGCUUAAAGCAGGCUUUACGCCUGAAUAAUGUUGCAUGGAAUAAUAGAAUAGGACCUCGGUUCUAUUUUGUUGGUUUUGUAGAGCAUUGAGGUAAUGAUUAAUAGGGACAGACGGGGGCAUUCGUAUUGCGGUGUUAGAGGUGAAAUUCUUGGAUCGCCGCAAGACGAACAACUGCGAAAGCAUUUGCCAAGAAUGUUUUCAUUAAUCAAGAACGAAA
RNAcentral lists this ribosomal RNA (400 nucleotides) under phytoplankton environmental sample. Its description in RNAcentral is "partial small subunit ribosomal RNA". It matches the Rfam family "Eukaryotic small subunit ribosomal RNA", at positions 587 to 988 of the family's 1831-position model. The record is from RNAcentral.